This 4113-nucleotide unclassified non-coding RNA is filed under the name Leishmania donovani. RNAcentral's name for it is "gene:LdHU3.35.0590(CDS-product:Arrestin_(or_S-ant igen)_N-inal_domain_containing_protein_putative)". The record is from RNAcentral. Lineage: Eukaryota; Euglenozoa; Kinetoplastea; Trypanosomatida; Trypanosomatidae.
GCGCAAGUUGCCACCAUCAUCGUUGCUCGCCGCUCCUUCGUCCAUCUCUGGCACCUUCUCCCCUCUUCGGCUUCCCAUCCCCGCUCAGUGCUACCGUCAGAGGGGAUGGGAGGGGGGAGGGCACACAUCACGUACCAUAAAAGAAAACGAACAAGGAGGAGAAGGACUCGACCAAAAGAACGGAGCCCCCCACUCUAAAGCAAAAGCCGACGAACGACGACGCAGCAGCUCGUAGAACCAAAGCAGCAACAACACCGACCAAGGUGACCACACCGACUUGACAGGCGUGCGCACGACCAUUUCCAUCCUUCCCUCUUUGUACGUAUGCAACAAACUCAUUGUUUUCGGUUGUUCCGGUAGAACGUCGCUCAGGUAGAAAGUGUGGCCGGUCAGCUACGCGUUUGGCAUCCGCCACCUCCCCCUCCUUCUCGUGUAGCAGAGCACCCCCUUUUUUCCAUCUUGAGCCUCAUCGUAUAUAUUGGAUGCGCCUUUUGCGUCUCAAACAGUUUGCCUUACCCUUUUUUUUUGUCUCGUUUCCACGCUGCACGGCCUGCUCCCCACCGCCCACACACACACACACGUGAACCUGCGCACGUGCGUCAUCACUCGGUGGUCUCUACUAUUAACAGCAUCAUUGUUGUGUGCAUAGCUCUUCGUCUGCUGCCGCUUCUGCUUUCCCUCACCGUUUGUGCGCAUCCCCACGUCUAUACAGGCACAAACAUCUCUACAUAUAUAUGUAUACGCCCUUCUCUUUCUCUCUCCUCCCCCACACACGCUCGUCUUGAAGGGGUGAGCAGCCUGUGCGUGUGUGUUUGCGCCCCCCCCCCGAUACACUCCUCGUCUUUUUUUUUGUGUUGUUUGUGUUGUUCUUCUUGUAUUCUCUGUCUUUGUCUUCCGCUGGUUUCCUUUGUCUCCGUUGUACGUGUCUUGUCGGCUUCCCCCUCCCUUUUGCGGUCUUGUGCUAACACCCACCGCACUCCUCUAACCCUCCGCCCCCUGCCCUUGCACACGCUCUCAUCCUCUUACUCGCUCCGCGCUGUUUAGGCCGCGCACGUGUCACCUUUAUCUCCUACCCACCGCUCGACUGUGCUGUACCGCCUCUCUAUGUGUCUUUCCCUUGCUUCCUGUUACGCGCACACUUCUUCUUCGUCUCCUUUUGCGGUGGACUUUUGCGCUGUGGGGCCUGCCUUGUUGCUACCGCUAUAGCGGUAAAGAUGCCGUCCAGCCGCGGCGUAGCCCUCUCCAUCUCCUUAGCGGAGGCGGAGGUGUCCCCGGGUGGCACGCUGCGCGGUGAGGUCGAGGUGAAAGUCGACUCCUCGCACAAGAACGGCAUCGUCUACGAGGCCAUACGCCUUGUUUUUCUAGCAGUGGAGAAGAGCUGUGUGUGGGAUGAUCAGGGCGAGUUCGAUGAGCUGCUGAACAAGUACACGUCGUCACGUGUCUACCUCGAUCGCCACGUGACGCUCACCGGCUUCAAAACGCAGUCCGAGGAUGCUGAGACCACCGCGCAGGUUCGGGAGGAGAUGCUGUUCCUCCAGCACUGCGCCACCCCGUACGCCGCGGUGGCGCCGACGAAGCCUAAGAAAGACGCGUACCGCCAUUACACACGCGAGGAGCUGCUGCACGGUGCCAUCCAAAUGGCGGCCACGACGAAGUGCACCACGGGCGGGGCGGUCGCCCCUGACGCCAACGCCGACACUAACAACUGCGUGGGAAGUCAGGAGUCUGUGCAAGGCGGUGACGGGCCGCGCUCGGCAGCGGCUGCCCCAAGAGGGGGUGCCACGGAAGUGGAGUUUCCCGUGCUGAUGCCCGGAACCCACCGUUUCCCUUUUCUGUUUCGCCUGCCUCCCUGGCUACCGCCUUCCUUCUACUACUCCUUCGUUGGCGCCAAGGGGCAGCUCCAGUACUCGGCGUCCGCCACGAUGUUGUUCCCCGGCAACGGUGCCGGCUCAUGGUGGUUCAAAAUCUGCAAGGACACGAGCGGGACAACGCGUGAUACGGAGAAUACCUUCAGAGCUGCCGGCGCCGGCGCCCCCUCUGCCAAGAGGGAGCGCAAGCGACCGGGCCGCGGUGAGUCGGGGGAGGGCGUCAUAGACCUGAACGAUGACGAAGUCGGUGAGCGCACGAAUCGGCGUCUUACCAGCAUGCCCGUCUACGGCCCAUCAGACCUCAUAACCGUCAUCCACUUCGACGUGCUGUCCGUGAUGCCGCGUCGUCAGCUAGUGGCCGAGUACUACCAGAUCGACACCCACAACCUGCAUCAGCGACCGACGAACGCGCCACGGGAGGCGGAGAACGCCGGUAACAGCAGCAGCAAUAGGAACGGUGCAAAGAAACUGCGAAGACGCGUUGACAAGAGCAACGAUGCCGGGGACGUGAAGCUAUCCGGCGUGUCGACGGGGUUGCUGGAGCACCACGAGGACACGCACUUGGCCCUGUCCGCGCUCUACCAAACGUUCCGCUGCGGCUGGCUGGGGAACAUGUGCUGCCUGCAGCCGCAGAACGCAAUCGAGGCGGAGGUGCUCGUGGUGGGUGCGCGGACGGUGCUGUUGGCCGACGACUUCGGUGCCUUGCAGGCGCUCGGGGUACGACCGCCGAUCACGUCCGACGCUCCACAACUUGGCGGCCCGGCGCUCCACGCCCCCGACAUUGUCCCCUCGCCUGACAUGGCGGUUGCGGCGCCCAAUACGCCAUGGCCGGUUGGCGGCAUCACGCUGCGUGUGCGUGUGCGCAACUACUGCCCCACACAUACAGUAGAGUGCGUGCGAGUAGAGCUGAAGGUGAUGGUGGAGAUCUUCAAGUCCCUCAAGACCCCGCACACCUUUCCUGGCAUCUCCUACUCGAGUUUCGACUACACAAUUCCCAUUCCUCCUGGCAACCAGGCGCUCUUCGAUGUGAGGCUCGGCCUGAAGCCGCGCUUCCGUCGGCACGAGACCGACAGCGAGUCACUCCUGCCACCGCCUGGAGUACGAACAGCUAACAUGACGAGCAACACCUUCUUACAGGUCAGCUUCCCCGGCAUGUACACGUACGUUGAAGAGGAGGAAGAGAAGAAGGGUGUCGUCAUCAUGGCGGAGACGGUGGACCUGAAUGACGAGGUGCUCGAACUGCCGGUCCGGUACAGUUGAUCGACGACACGUUGUGCACCUGCAUACGCCGCGGUCGACAUCGCCAGAUCCAGUCUUCAGCGGAGGCACCAUGAGAGGGGGGCAGCGGCACGUCCUUGUCCUCAAGCUCCGCACGGCACGCAUAUAGCCGCGCAGGUGUGUGCGGAGACGGCUGCUGCGUUAACGCUCCAUCUCACCAGCAGAGACAGCGAGAGAGAGGGGCGUGCACGUGUGGGCGUUAGCAAAGGCUUCUUCUGAUAGCCACAGCCACAGACGCAUACAUACACGCACACACACACACACACACACACACACACACAAGUGCCGAUGGGCCCUUUGCUGCCUCGUCCUUUUCCUCUUUUCCUUUCUUCAGUUGUGCACAGAGCGACGAACACAUGAUGGCACUCUUCUCGCUUCAGACCCUCCUAUCCCAUCCCCCUCCCCUCCCUGGCUCUCCACUGUGGCUCACUCGUCGGAGACACAUGUCGGUGUGCGCGAUACCGAUCUUUUUCUUUUCAGGGGUUUUGUGCGCCCAUUGACUCGCUUGUUCUUCUUCCCUACUUCGUAUUUGUGCGUAUGCGCAUGUUUGUACCAUGGACUGCAUUGUGUGCGUGUUUUGUGUUUCUCCUUCUCCGUGGGCGAUUUGCUUCUUUUUAUUCUUGUGCGCACCUGCUACGCGCUGUUAUUUGUUGCGCACUGCAUGGCGGUCAUGGCUGCGCGCCUGCGGUUACGCCCUCACCCAGGAAACGCAAAACCAGCAACAGAAAAGCAGCUGCAGGUUCCACCGACAUUUUUAUCAGACAGACAGACAGGCGCGCGCGCACACACCCACACACCGCUGCCAGUCGCUGCGAUCGCAAGCUAUGCGGGCCAUCUUGCGGUAGUUUCGAUGUCGUCGGCAAGGGGAUGUGCCCGUGUGUCUUAUCGACUUUCUUUUUGUCUUCUUCCUCCACCUCCGCCUCCAUCCGUCCUCCACAUGGCUCCUGCCUUCUGCCCUUUAUCGAAG